UCGAGGAUCUUUGGCAAUGGGCGCAAGCCUGACCAAGCGACGCCGCGUGUGCGAUGAAGGCCUUCGGGUUGUAAAGCACUGUCGAGGGGGAUAAAACCGCAAGGUUGAUAGAUCCCUGGAGGAAGCACGGGCUAAGUUCGUGCCAGCAGCCGCGGUAAGACGAACCGUGCGAACGUUGUUCGGAAUCACUGGGCUUAAAGGGCGCGUAGGCGGCUUGUCAAGUCAGGGGUGAAAUCCUGCAGCUCAACUGUAGAAGUGCCUUUGAUACUGGCGAGCUCGAGGGAGGUAGGGGUGGGUGGAACUUCCGGUGGAGCGGUGAAAUGCGUUGAUAUCGGAAGGAACGCCGGUGGCGAAAGCGACCCACUGGAUCUCUACUGACGCUGAGGCGCGAAAGCCAGGGGAGCAAACGG
This 410-nucleotide ribosomal RNA is filed under the name uncultured bacterium. RNAcentral's name for it is "bacterial SSU rRNA". It matches the Rfam family "Bacterial small subunit ribosomal RNA", at positions 355 to 775 of the family's 1533-position model. The record is from RNAcentral.